Molecule: ribosomal RNA, 318 nt
Filed under: uncultured eukaryote
Lineage: Eukaryota
Description: partial 18S ribosomal RNA
Rfam family: Eukaryotic small subunit ribosomal RNA
Source: RNAcentral
CCCUUAGAUGUUCUGGGCCGCACACGCGCUACACUGAAGGAGGCAGCGUGUACUCCUGGAUCGAAAGAUUUGGGUAACCCGCGAAUCUCCUUCGUGCUAGGGAUUGAGGUUUGCAAUUAUCCUUCAUGAACGAGGAAUUCCCAGUAAGUGCAAGUCAUAAGCUUGCGCUGACUACGUCCCUGCCCUUUGUACACACCGCCCGUCGCACCUACCGAUUGAAUGGUCCGGUGAAAUCUCGGGACGGCGGCUCGGUCGCUUGCGUCCGACUGCUGAAACUUGAUUAAACCAUAUCAUUUAGAGGAAGGUGAAGUCGUAACA